Molecule: non-coding RNA, 1120 nt
Filed under: Pan troglodytes (chimpanzee)
Lineage: Eukaryota; Metazoa; Chordata; Mammalia; Primates; Hominidae
Source: RNAcentral
GGGGAGACUAGAUCGAUGGGGCUGCACAGAGGUGGCACAGUUGUGCCAGAGGGCCAGACUUUGGCAGCGUGUAAGGUCUGAGGACAGGGGCACCGGAGGCCGAGGAUGAGAGGCCAGUGCCUGUUUCCAGGCAGCCAGGGCCUCAGAAACUCCGGCCGGAGCACUCACCCGUCGGUGGAGGCCGUUACCAGGGCCACCUUAUUCGCGAGCGGGUCCCGGCGGGUCAUCCCGGAGCUGGCCAUCCGCACCGAAUUCCAAGCCCGGGCACAGAGGCCUAGCAGCCCCGUCUUGUGCAUGGCUCAGACCAGCAAGUGCCACUUCGGAUAAACCCUUUGGACUCCUAACUCCAAUCAGGUGUCUGCUUUGUUGAGGACUCACAGACACAGUCUCCUUUCUUCAAGAUCUUUACAAUGCAAGACCUCACUAACACACAGGGGAUGGUCUCCCAGAGGGUCUGUGCUGUUCCUUCACUCAGAACAUCAAGAUGCACUUAAGUAAGGAUCCUCUGUUCUACGGUUCCUGCUAGCUGAGCUAUUCCAUGGGGGCUUCAGCAGGAAAUUCCAAGGUUGGCUUUGACAAGCUAAGGCCGGCUGGUGGAGCACAUCGAGUUCUGGAGGUUCAUGUGUGUUUUCAUGAAGAUCUGUCUGCCAGUAGCAGAUAAAGAGUUGUUGCCCCACUCCUCCUGGGGUCUUCUAUUUUCCUGGGAGGAAUUUCUGGAUUAACUGAACACACACACACACACACACACACCCCUUUGAAGCAUCAACAGUAAUUCUGAGUUCUUAGGGACAAUGCAGAUUAAAUCCACAAUAAGAAAGACAACUAUGGCCAGGUGCGGUGGCUCACGCCUGUAAUCCCAGAACUUUGGGAGGCUGAGGCGGAUGGAUCACCUGAGGUCAGGAGUUAGAGACCAACCUGACCAACAUGGAGAAACCCCGUUUCUACUAAAAAUACAAAAUUAGCCGGGCAUGGUGGCAGGCGCCUGUAAUCCCAACUACUCAGGAGGCUGAGGCAGGAGAAUCGCUUAAACCCGGGAGGCAGAGGUUGCAGUGAGCCAAGAUCGCGCCAUUGCACUCCAGCCUGGGCAAGAAGAGCAAAACUCCAUCUCAAAAAAAAAAAA